RNAcentral lists this unclassified non-coding RNA (866 nucleotides) under Hevea brasiliensis (rubber tree). Lineage: Eukaryota; Viridiplantae; Streptophyta; Magnoliopsida; Malpighiales; Euphorbiaceae. The record is from RNAcentral.
CUCAGGUUCAAACAUAUCCUCAGAAACUGCCAUAUCAGCAGGUAGUGGAGAAAUCACAGACAUAGGUCACAAGGAUUUUUUGAGCUGUGAGACAUGAAAGACUGGAUGGAUGCGAGCGCCCUCAGGUAAUUGGAGUUGAUAGGCCAAUUGACCAAUUUUUGCCAUAAUCAGGAAAGGACCAUAAAAAUGAGCAGCAACUUGGAAUUAAUGUGAUUGGAAAUCGAAAAUUGACAAUGCAGCCUCAAUUUAAGAAACACUGAAUCACCAACAUUGAAUUGAACAUCCUGCCAAUGCUUGUUGGCCGUCUUAGUCAUAUGUUGCUGAGCACGCUGCAAAUUAUAGCGCAGCUAGCGUAAAAUCUUAUCCCUAUCAGCCAAGUCUUUAGCAAUUGCUUCGACCUUGAUAUCACCUGGCAAAAACUGAUAAAAGGUUGGAGGAGGUCUCCCAUACACAAUUUGAAAUGGUGUGCUACCAGCAACUGUAUGAAAACUAGUAUUAUACUAGUACUCAGUCCAACUCAACCACUCAAUCCAAUGCUUGAGCUAUUCAGAAGAGAACCAUCACAAGUACGUCUCCAAAGUAUGAUUUAAAACUUUUGUUUGGCCGUCAAAUUCAGGGUUGUAGGCUGUACUCAUACACAACUUAGUACCUUGGAGCUGAAAGAGUUCCUGCCAAAAAUUACUAAGGAAUAUGGGAUCUCGAUAACUAACAAUAGAAAAAGGCAUACCACGGAGGCACACAAUUUCUUCAGCAAAUAGAUCAGCAACUGUCUUAGCUUUGAAAGGGUGUUUUAAUCCCAAGAAAUGUCCAUAUUUGGAUAAGCGAUCAGUGACAACCAAGAUGCAAUCGAAACAAUUAGAGCGAGG